This is a long non-coding RNA of Rhagoletis pomonella (apple maggot), 563 nucleotides long. RefSeq lists it as uncharacterized. The transcript is spliced from 2 exons. NCBI's taxonomy places the organism in Eukaryota, Metazoa, Arthropoda, Insecta, Diptera, Tephritidae. The record is from RefSeq and is a predicted model, not a curated record.
UGCUGCUGCUGCUGCGCAAUUUCUGUUUCUCGCGACGUGUUUGUUUUAUCGAUUUUUCGCGACUGUGAUUUUAACGAUAUUUUUUCUGUGCUCAAACUUAAUUGCAAUUUGCCACGCUCACGUUCACUACUUACGCUUGGAUGAAAAGUUUUUGGAAACUCAGGAAUUUCAGUUUUCUCGCAACGUAAUUUUCGAUAGGACAACUCGAUAUCUUCGUCUUCGUCAGCCUCCUCGUUGCUCACAAUUUCAUAAUCGUGGUCUAUCGUAUUGUGUUACAAACCGGCAGCGUCUUCAAUGUGCCGUUACUCAUGGUAUGUGGACGACGAAAGUGGGCAGCUGGAGCAUUGCGGAAAGGUAAAUAUUGGCUAGUUGGAAGUGUUACAAAUACGCAUCGUAUGCGGCGGCAUUUGGCGAAUUAAAGGCAUGUGAAAUCGAGCGUGGAAAAUUUUUGGUUCGAAAAUAGUUGAGGGCGCCUAAAUAGAAUUAGACAUAUGUAAGUAUGUACAUGACACAGUUAUUAAAGCACAGUAAUAAAGGGUGUUUCAUGUGGGUUUCAGAGGAAA